RNAcentral lists this ribosomal RNA (1341 nucleotides) under uncultured bacterium. RNAcentral describes it as "16S ribosomal RNA". It matches the Rfam family "Bacterial small subunit ribosomal RNA", at positions 28 to 1381 of the family's 1533-position model. The record is from RNAcentral.
GACGAACGCUGGCGGCGUGCUUAACACAUGCAAGUCGAACGGUAAGGCUCCAGCUUGCUGGGGUACACGAGUGGCGAACGGGUGAGUAACACGUGGGUGACCUGCCCUGCACUUCGGGAUAAGCCUGGGAAACUGGGUCUAAUACCGGAUAGGACCGCACCGUGAGGGUGUGGUGGAAAGUUUUUUCGGUGUGGGAUGGGCCCGCGGCCUAUCAGCUUGUUGGUGGGGUAAUGGCCUACCAAGGCGGCGACGGGUAGCCGGCCUGAGAGGGUGGACGGCCGCAUUGGGACUGAGACACGGCCCAGACUCCUACGGGAGGCAGCAGUGGGGAAUAUUGCACAAUGGGCGGAAGCCUGAUGCAGCGACGCCGCGUGGGGGAUGACGGCCUUCGGGUUGUAAACUCCUUUCACCAUCGACGAAGGGUUUCUGACGGUAGAUGGAGAAGAAGCACCGGCUAACUACGUGCCAGCAGCCGCGGUAAUACGUAGGGUGCGAGCGUUGUCCGGAAUUACUGGGCGUAAAGAGCUCGUAGGUGGUAUGUCGCGUCGUCUGUGAAAUUCCGGGGCUUAACUCCGGGCGUGCAGGCGAUACGGGCAUAACUUGAGUACUGUAGGGGAGACUGGAAUUCCUGGUGUAGCGGUGAAAUGCGCAGAUAUCAGGAGGAACACCGGUGGCGAAGGCGGGUCUCUGGGCAGUAACUGACGCUGAGGAGCGAAAGCAUGGGGAGCGAACAGGAUUAGAUACCCUGGUAGUCCAUGCCGUAAACGGUGGGCGCUAGGUGUGGGUUUCCUUCCACGGGAUCCGUGCCGUAGCUAACGCAUUAAGCGCCCCGCCUGGGGAGUACGGCCGCAAGGCUAAAACUCAAAGGAAUUGACGGGGGCCCGCACAAGCGGCGGAGCAUGUGGAUUAAUUCGAUGCAACGCGAAGAACCUUACCUGGGCUUGACAUAUACAGGAUCGCGCCAGAGAUGGUGUUUCCCUUGUGGCUUGUAUACAGGUGGUGCAUGGUUGUCGUCAGCUCGUGUCGUGAGAUGUUGGGUUAAGUCCCGCAACGAGCGCAACCCUUGUCUUAUGUUGCCAGCACGUUGUGGUGGGGACUCGUAAGAAACUGCCGGGGUUAACUCGGAGGAAGGUGGGGAUGACGUCAAAUCAUCAUGCCCCUUAUGUCCAGGGCUUCACACAUGCUACAAUGGUCGGUACAGUGGGUUGCCAGUCCGUGAGGGCGAGCUAAUCCCGCAAAGCCGGUCUCAGUUCGGAUCGGGGUCUGCAACUCGACCCCGUGAAGUCGGAGUCGCUAGUAAUCGCAGAUCAGCAACGCUGCGGUGAAUACGUUCCCGGGCCU